RNAcentral lists this ribosomal RNA (497 nucleotides) under uncultured bacterium. Its description in RNAcentral is "partial 16S ribosomal RNA". It matches the Rfam family "Bacterial small subunit ribosomal RNA", at positions 28 to 507 of the family's 1533-position model. The record is from RNAcentral.
GAUGAACGCUGGCGGCGUGCCUAAUACAUGCAAGUCGAGCGAACGGACGAGAAGCUUGCUUCUCUGAUGUUAGCGGCGGACGGGUGAUUAACACGUGGAUAACCUACCUAUAAGACUGGGAUAACUUCGGGAAACCGGAGCUAAUACCGGAUAAUAUUUUGAACCGCAUGGUUCAAAAGUGAAAGACGGUCUUGCUGUCACUGAUAGAUGGAUCCGCGCUGCAUUAGCUAGUUGGUAAGGUAACGGCUUACCAAGGCAACGAUGCAUAGCCGACCUGAGAGGGUGAUCGGGCACACUGGAACUGAGACACGGCCCAGACUCCUACGGGAGGCAGAAGUAGGGAAUCUUCCGCAAUGGGCGAAAGCCUGACGGAGCAACGCCGCGUGAGUGAUGAAGGUCUUCGGAUCGUAAAACUCUGUUAUUAGGGAAGACCAUAUGUGUAAGUAACUGUGCAAAUCUUGACGGUACCUAAUCAGAAAGCCACGGCUAACUACGUG